RNAcentral lists this microRNA precursor (65 nucleotides) under Pristionchus pacificus. Its description in RNAcentral is "mir-8364 microRNA precursor family". It matches the Rfam family "mir-8364 microRNA precursor family". Lineage: Eukaryota; Metazoa; Nematoda; Chromadorea; Rhabditida; Neodiplogasteridae. The record is from Rfam by way of RNAcentral.
UCUUCAUUUCGCGUACUCUCUCUCACCGGUCAGAGUGAUAAGAGAGAGUGUGUAAAAUGAAGAGA